RNAcentral lists this ribosomal RNA (546 nucleotides) under Escherichia coli. Its description in RNAcentral is "partial 23S ribosomal RNA". It matches the Rfam family "Bacterial large subunit ribosomal RNA", at positions 1220 to 1767 of the family's 2925-position model. Lineage: Bacteria; Pseudomonadati; Pseudomonadota; Gammaproteobacteria; Enterobacterales; Enterobacteriaceae. The record is from RNAcentral.
GUUGUUGGGUAGGGGAGCGUUCUGUAAGCCUGUGAAGGUGUACUGUGAGGUAUGCUGGAGGUAUCAGAAGUGCGAAUGCUGACAUAAGUAACGAUAAAGCGGGUGAAAAGCCCGCUCGCCGGAAGACCAAGGGUUCCUGUCCAACGUUAAUCGGGGCAGGGUGAGUCGACCCCUAAGGCGAGGCCGAAAGGCGUAGUCGAUGGGAAACAGGUUAAUAUUCCUGUACUUGGUGUUACUGCGAAGGGGGGACGGAGAAGGCUAUGUUGGCCGGGCGACGGUUGUCCCGGUUUAAGCGUGUAGGCUGGUUUUCCAGGCAAAUCCGGAAAACUAAGGCUGAGGCGUGAUGACGAGGCACUACGGUGCUGAAGCAACAAAUGCCCUGCUUCCAGGAAAAGCCUCUAAGCAUCAGGUAACAUCAAAUCGUACCCCAAACCGACACAGGUGGUCAGGUAGAGAAUACCAAGGCGCUUGAGAGAACUCGGGUGAAGGAACUAGGCAAAAUGGUGCCGUAACUUCGGGAGAAGGCACGCUGAUAUGUAGGUGAAG